GGGUGCGAUCAUACCAGCACUAAUGCACCGGAUCCCAUCAGAACUCCGUAGUUAAGCGUGCUUGGGUGAGAGUAGUACUAGGAUGGGUGACCUCCUGGGAAGUCCUCGUGUUGCACCCCUC
This 121-nucleotide ribosomal RNA is filed under the name Gossypium tomentosum. The record is from RNAcentral. Lineage: Eukaryota; Viridiplantae; Streptophyta; Magnoliopsida; Malvales; Malvaceae.